UGAACGCUAGCUACAGGCUUAACACAUGCAAGUCGAGGGGCAGCAUUUUAGUUUGCUUGCAAACUGAAGAUGGCGACCGGCGCACGGGUGAGUAACACGUAUCCAACCUGCCGAUAACUCCGGAAUAGCCUUUCGAAAGAAAGAUUAAUACCGGAUAGCAUACGAAUAUCGCAUGAUAUUUUUAUUAAAGAAUUUCGGUUAUCGAUGGGGAUGCGUUCCAUUAGUUUGUUGGCGGGGUAACGGCCCACCAAGACUACGAUGGAUAGGGGUUCUGAGAGGAAGGUCCCCCACAUUGGAACUGAGACACGGUCCAAACUCCUACGGGAGGCAGCAGUGAGGAAUAUUGGUCAAUGGGCGAGAGCCUGAACCAGCCAAGUAGCGUGAAGGAUGAAGGCUCUAUGGGUCGUAAACUUCUUUUAUAUGGGAAUAAAGUUUUCCACGUGUGGAAUUUUGUAUGUACCAUAUGAAUAAGGAUCGGCUAACUCCGUGCCAGCAGCCGCGGUAAUACGGAGGAUCCGAGCGUUAUCCGGAUUUAUUGGGUUUAAAGGGAGCGUAGGUGGAUUGUUAAGUCAGUUGUGAAAGUUUGCGGCUCAACCGUAAAAUUGCAGUUGAAACUGGCAGUCUUGAGUACAGUAGAGGUGGGCGGAAUUCGUGGUGUAGCGGUGAAAUGCUUAGAUAUCACGAAGAACUCCGAUUGCGAAGGCAGCUCACUAGACUGUCACUGACACUGAUGCUCGAAAGUGUGGGUAUCAAACAGGAUUAGAUACCCUGGUAGUCCACACAGUAAACGAUGAAUACUCGCUGUUUGCGAUAUACAGUAAGCGGCCAAGCGAAAGCAUUAAGUAUUCCACCUGGGGAGUACGCCGGCAACGGUGAAACUCAAAGGAAUUGACGGGGGCCCGCACAAGCGGAGGAACAUGUGGUUUAAUUCGAUGAUACGCGAGGAACCUUACCCGGGCUUAAAUUGCAACAGAAUAUAUUGGAAACAGUAUAGCCGUAAGGCUGUUGUGAAGGUGCUGCAUGGUUGUCGUCAGCUCGUGCCGUGAGGUGUCGGCUUAAGUGCCAUAACGAGCGCGACCCUUAUCUUUAGUUACUAACAGGUCAUGCUGAGGACUCUAGAGAGACUGCCGUCGUAAGAUGUGAGGAAGGUGGGGAUGACGUCAAAUCAGCACGGCCCUUACGUCCGGGGCUACACACGUGUUACAAUGGGGGGUACAGAAGGCGGCUACCUGGUGACAGGAUGCUAAUCCCAAAAACCUCUCUCAGUUCGGAUCGAAGUCUGCAACCCGACUUCGUGAAGCUGGAUUCGCUAGUAAUCGCGCAUCAGCCAUGGCGCGGUGAAUACGUUCCCGGGCCUUGUACACACCGCCCGUCAAGCCAUGAAAGCCGGGGGUACCUGAAGUACGUAACCGCAAGGAGCGUCCUAGGGUAAAACCGGUAAUUGGGGCUAA
This 1451-nucleotide ribosomal RNA is filed under the name uncultured organism. RNAcentral describes it as "SSU rRNA". It matches the Rfam family "Bacterial small subunit ribosomal RNA". The record is from RNAcentral.